GACGAACGCUGGCGGCGUGCUUAACACAUGCAAGUCGAACGGAAAGGCCCUGCUUUUGUGGGGUGCUCGAGUGGCGAACGGGUGAGUAACACGUGAGUAACCUGCCCUUGACUUUGGGAUAACUUCAGGAAACUGGGGCUAAUACCGGAUAGGAGCUCCUGCUGCAUGGUGGGGGUUGGAAAGUUUCGGCGGUUGGGGAUGGACUCGCGGCUUAUCAGCUUGUUGGUGGGGUAGUGGCUUACCAAGGCUUUGACGGGUAGCCGGCCUGAGAGGGUGACCGGCCACAUUGGGACUGAGAUACGGCCCAGACUCCUACGGGAGGCAGCAGUGGGGAAUAUUGCACAAUGGGCGGAAGCCUGAUGCAGCAACGCCGCGUGCGGGAUGACGGCCUUCGGGUUGUAAACCGCUUUCGCCUGUGACGAAGCGUGAGUGACGGUAAUGGGUAAAGAAGCACCGGCUAACUACGUGCCAGCAGCCGCGGUGAUACGUAGGGUGCGAGCGUUGUCCGGAUUUAUUGGGCGUAAAGGGCUCGUAGGUGGUUGAUCGCGUCGGAAGUGUAAUCUUGGGGCUUAACCCUGAGCGUGCUUUCGAUACGGGUUGACUUGAGGAAGGUAGGGGAGAAUGGAAUUCCUGGUGGAGCGGUGGAAUGCGCAGAUAUCAGGAGGAACACCAGUGGCGAAGGCGGUUCUCUGGGCCUUUCCUGACGCUGAGGAGCGAAAGCGUGGGGAGCGAACAGGCUUAGAUACCCUGGUAGUCCACGCUGUAAACGGUGGGUACUAGGUGUGGGGUCCAUUCCACGGGUUCCGUGCCGUAGCUAACGCUUUAAGUACCCCGCCUGGGGAGUACGGCCGCAAGGCUAAAACUCAAAGGAAUUGACGGGGCCCCGCACAAGCGGCGGAGCAUGCGGAUUAAUUCGAUGCAACGCGUAGAACCUUACCUGGGUUUGACAUGGAUCGGGAGUGCUCAGAGAUGGGUGUGCCUCUUUUGGGGUCGGUUCACAGGUGGUGCAUGCCUGUCGUCAGCUCGUGUCGUGAGAUGUUGGGUUAAGUCCCGCAACGAGCGCAACCCUUGUUCACUGUUGCCAGCACGUUAUGGUGGGGACUCAGUGGAGACCGCCGGGGUCAACUCGGAGGAAGGUGGGGAUGACGUCAAGUCAUCAUGCCCCUUAUGUCCAGGGCUUCACGCAUGCUACAAUGGCUGGUACAGAGAGUGGCGAGCCUGUGAGGGUGAGCGAAUCUCGGAAAGCCGGUCUCAGUUCGGAUUGGGGUCUGCAACUCGACCUCAUGAAGUCGGAGUCGCUAGUAAUCGCAGAUCAGCAACGCUGCGGUGAAUAGCGUUCCCGGGGCU
RNAcentral lists this ribosomal RNA (1347 nucleotides) under uncultured bacterium. RNAcentral describes it as "partial 16S ribosomal RNA". It matches the Rfam family "Bacterial small subunit ribosomal RNA", at positions 28 to 1381 of the family's 1533-position model. The record is from RNAcentral.